CAACGUGGGGAACCUGCCCCAUAGUCUGGGAUACCACUUGGAAACAGGUGCUAAUACCGGAUAAGAAAGCGGAUCGCAUGAUCAGCUUUUAAAAGGCGGCGUAAGCUGUCGCUAUGGGAUGGCCCCGCGGUGCAUUAGCUAGUUGGUAAGGUAAAGGCUUACCAAGGCGAUGAUGCAUAGCCGAGUUGAGAGACUGAUCGGCCACAUUGGGACUGAGACACGGCCCAAACUCCUACGGGAGGCAGCAGUG
RNAcentral lists this ribosomal RNA (250 nucleotides) under uncultured Lactobacillus sp. Its description in RNAcentral is "partial 16S ribosomal RNA". It matches the Rfam family "Bacterial small subunit ribosomal RNA", at positions 113 to 356 of the family's 1533-position model. The record is from RNAcentral. Lineage: Bacteria; Bacillati; Bacillota; Bacilli; Lactobacillales; Lactobacillaceae.